GCCUACAUGAAGUUGGAAUUGCUAGUAAUCGCAGAUCAGAAUGCUGCGGUGAAUACGUUCCCGGGCCUUGUACACACCGCCCGUCACACCAUGGGAGCCGGUAAUACCCGAAGUCAGUAGUCUAACCGCAAGGGGGACGCUGCCGAAGGUAGGAUUGGCGACUGGGGUGAAGUCGUAACAAGGUACC
This 187-nucleotide ribosomal RNA is filed under the name uncultured bacterium. RNAcentral describes it as "partial 16S ribosomal RNA". It matches the Rfam family "Bacterial small subunit ribosomal RNA", at positions 1314 to 1500 of the family's 1533-position model. The record is from RNAcentral.